UAGAGUUUGAUCCUGGCUCAGGAUGAACGCUGGCGGCGUGCCUAAUACAUGCAAGUCGAACGGGAACCUUGGAUUCGUCUGAGGGGAGAGUGGCGGACGGGUGAGUAACACGUAGGCGACCUGCCCCGGAGAGGGGGAUAACGGCCCGAAAGGGCUGCUAAGACCCCAUAAGCUCACGAUGAUUAGAAAGCCGUGAGAAAAGGCAGUGUGCUCCGGGAGGGGCCUGCGGCCCAUCAGCUGGUUGGCGGGGUAAUGGCCCACCAAGGCGACGACGGGUAGGGGGCCUGAGAGGGUGGUCCCCCACAUGGGCACUGAGACACGGGCCCAACUCCUACGGGAGGCAGCAGUAAGGGAUAUUGCACAAUGGGCGCAAGCCUGAUGCAGCAACGCCGCGUGCCCGAUGAAGGCCUUCGGGUCGUAAAGGGCUUUUCUGGCUGAUGAGGGCGGCUUCGGCCGCUGGACAGUAGGCCAGGAAGAAGUGUCGGCUAACUACGUGCCAGCAGCCCCGGUCAA
Molecule: ribosomal RNA, 513 nt
Filed under: uncultured bacterium
Lineage: Bacteria
Description: bacterial SSU rRNA
Rfam family: Bacterial small subunit ribosomal RNA
Source: RNAcentral